Nippostrongylus brasiliensis is the source of this 66-nucleotide non-coding RNA. The record is from Rfam. NCBI's taxonomy places the organism in Eukaryota, Metazoa, Nematoda, Chromadorea, Rhabditida, Heligmosomidae.
GUCUCAAUAGCACAGUGGUUGCAGCUCCGGAUAGGUUAGUCGCGGGUUCGAUUCCCGCCUGAGAUG